This 27353-nucleotide long non-coding RNA is filed under the name Triticum aestivum (bread wheat). Its description in RNAcentral is "long non-coding RNA (TAES_LNC013351)". The record is from RNAcentral. Lineage: Eukaryota; Viridiplantae; Streptophyta; Magnoliopsida; Poales; Poaceae.
UCCAGCCGGUGCCGCCGCCUCGCCUACAGCCAUCUCCCUGCUGUCCGCUGCUCUCCUCUUCUUUCCAUCCUUCUUCUCCUCACCAUGCUGCUGCUCCUCCCUCUCAAUCUCUACUGCUGCUCUUCCUUGCGCCCCCGUGCUGCUGCCUCUCCUUCCCUUCGUUGCUGCUGCUUCUCCUUUGAUCCCUUUGCUACUGCUCCUCUUCUUCGUGCCCAACCUCCGCUGCUGCUCCUCUUUCCUGCUGCAUCCCUGCUGCUGCUACUCCCUCUCACCACGCCUCUGCUGCUCUCUUUCCCCUCCUGCUGCUGCUCUCCUCACCAUGCUGCUUCUCCUUUCUGCUUCUCCUCUUGCUGCUGCUGCCCGCCCCCGACCUCCUGCUGCUAUCUCUCUCUACUUCCCCUGCUACCUUUCUUCUCUGAACCUACCUACUGCUUCUCUCUCUCUCUCUGAAAUUGUUGUAGUACUAAGAUUUGUAAGACAGUGUACUACAACCUGUUAAUUGUUCAGUUCAGAUUUUUGCUUGUUUAGUAUUAUUCUGUUGAUCUGUCCUAAUCUUGUGGCUAGUAUAAUUUCGUUUCUGUUGUUACUUGUGUAACCUGAACCGAGGUUAGUAUCCUAUUUGCAUAUGUGUGUUUUGUGUGUUCUGUAGUCCCUGUAUUAGUUACGUACCUGUGAUAUAUAAAUGUGUGUGUGCGUGUGUGUGUGUGUGUGUGUGUGUAAUUCAUCAAAAUAUAUUGUUGUGUGAUGAUGAUAUAUGUUCAGUCUAGAGACACGUUGUUUUUCUUGCUUUGUAGAUCGAUGUGAACUAGUACUCUUGUGUGUUUCUGUUGUCACUAGUUAAAUUGAUCACCUAUGUACUACUUGUUGUAGAAACUUGUUACAUUAGUCCUUGUGCUAGCUAUGCACCUGUGAUAAAUAUGUGUGUGAUGUGAAACAUUUCUGUUCUGUCCUAUAAUAUUGUUUCCUCCCUCUUUUGCUUGUCAUUAUGCUAUAUGUGUUCAUGUCCUAAUGUUUCCCUUUAUGUUAGUUUCUAAUUUCUCAUGCCUAAUAAAAAUACCAAAAGAGAGCAAGUAAGAUCUGAUCCUCCCUUUGCUAUUUUGCCUUUUCUUUGUGGAUCAUCUUCGGGAGCAACCUUGUUUAGUUUAGGUUUAUUUUCUUGCAGCCAUAAUCUCAAUUGUGUUACCUAGAUUUAGCUGAGCAUAGUCGCCGUCGCCUAGUCCCUGAGGGGAACACGACACUCGCGAUUUGGGCGAAAUAUCCCACCGCAUUUACAAACGAUCAUUUUGGCGCCGUUGCCGGGGACUAGCAUCGAGUGACAGUGUUAGGCUAUAGACUAGGUUUUUCUUGUUUUCAUUUUGUGCCAUAUAUUUGUGAUAUAUCUCUAGCCACUAACCCCUGUUCUAGGUAGUAUCUUUUUGUCUUCUUUUCCUUUUUUGCAGGUUGGAUUAUCCUCUCGGAAAUGGCAUUCUAUUCGGAUCAUCAGGCUUAUGCGAGCAACACUACAAACAACAUGAAAAGAAUUCAAGAACUGAUAAGUAAGAUUUCCCAUCGAUUAGAUGAUUUAGCUCGGCAGCGAGAAGUAGUUUUUGUGGAUAGUCCUAGCUCUUAUGAUCCUUAUUCUGGAGGCCAUCCUUAUGUUGCUCCUACUUGCCAUAUUUGUGGAUUUCAGGGCCAUUCGCUCGCUGAAUGUCAGCGUGGUUACUCUCGCCCUCCAGAUUGUUUUGGCAUGAGCUUUGCUCAAGAGCAUAGCUCAUACCAAAACAAUUACUCACAUGGGUGGCCUGAGAACCCGAAUAUGUCAUUUAGGAGCAACAACCCUGAGAUCUUAUCAUUUGCCUCUAGUAAUCCAAUGCAGGGAUUUAGGUAUGAAGAGGAGAGCCACAACUAUGCUCCACAACAGUUUUAUUCACCUCCUACUCAUAUACCGCAGCACCAGGAGAUGUGUCCAAUGGAGUUAAAUGGUCCUCCGUUUGGUCAACCAACAACUUCAGCACCUAAUGAGUCGGUAGAGCAAUCUCAUGUGCAGGGAUUUAGGUAUGAAGAGGAGAGCCACAACUAUGCUCCACAACAGUUUUAUUCACCUCCUACUCAUAUACCGCAGCACCAGGAGAUGUGUCCAAUGGAGUUAAAUGGUCCUCCAUUUGGUCAACCAACAACUUCAGCACCUAAUGAGUCGGUAGAGCAAUCUCAUGUGCAAGUGCCCACACAAGAUGAGUUCGAUGACAUAGACAAACUCACACUUUUGAGUCUCGAGUUCACUUGGAGUGCCGAGGAUGAUCCUAUUAGGAAGGUUAUACUAGAGGAAAUGAAGAGGAUCAAGAGUGGAAAAGAGCUAGUGGAAGAAGUAAGGAAGAUUGAGAAGAGCAUCAAUGCUGGCAGCACUAUUUCUUCACAACUAGAGCUGAGUAUUUCUGGGAUAUCCUUUGAUACAUGUGAGGCUCCAACACCGUCACAUCCAGCUGAGCAAGAUAGAAAAAGUCCAGAGGAAGAGAGACCUUAGAUUGAAGUUGAACUCAAGGAACAAGAUGAUCAAGAGCUACAAUUUCCAAGUGAUCAAGUUGAAGACUCAUCAUCUACUACUCCUAAAGAAGUACAAGAAGCUGUUGUAGAUGAAGAUGAAGAACCUGAGAUUCAUUGGCCUAUUGUCAUACAUGAACCUGAUAUGUCAGGUUUACCCAAUCCUCUUGAUGACAUGCUGCCUUGUGAUUUCUUUGCUUCUAACUUGCAUUGCAUGAUGCCAUCACUUAAGGUAGAUUUGAAAAACUAUUUGCUUGGACAUGAUCAUACACACCCUGUUAGUGGCAUUGCUCAUAUCUCUGUUCAUGAUACUUAUGUUCCUGAUGCUAUACACAUGCUUAAUGAAACGUGUGAUUCUAAUACUAGCAUUGAGCUUACUGAAUUGUACCAUCCUAAACAUGUGCUUUAUAGCUAUGCUUAUGUAAUUGGGUACUCUAUUGAUGAUUUAGAGGGCAUUACCCUUGUCACUUGUAUCGCCUCCUUGGUUGAGUGCUCUUUCAGCUUGUUGCUUGUGCACGAUCCACUACAUGCUGGCCAAGUUCGAGAUGACAUUCCUUGGGACCCCGGUGGACCCAUGGCAUGGGGAUGAGGAGAAGCAAGGAGCACACAUGAAGAGAGAAGCUGUGCCGGCAUGAGGAUAGGGAAGCAAAAGGAGAGGAGUCACAAUGCAAGAGGAUGUGAGAUGAUCGAGCGAGUGCUACAUCAAAGCCCGGUGAGCUGUUUCAUGACCCAUUCCGAGUAUAUCAUCCAUUGAUGCUUGCUGAAUUAAAUUGCUAUUUGGGUUGCUUGUGCCAUUUCUUAAAUGUUGUCCCACAGAUUUUUCACCUUUGACAUAUGGUGCUUGAUGAGAAUAUGUGAACUGAUUGUUGAAUGCCUUGUAAACUAGUGAUCUACAUCCUGUUUGCUUUGCUGAAAGUAGUGAAAGCUAUUAGUUUUGAGUGCUCAAAUCCCUAGUGCACUAGUAAACUUAAUCAUUUUCUGCUUUUACCUUGAUACACCUAAAUCAUUAAGUGUCGGAUGCUGAGUUUGUGCCUAAUGUGUUCCCAUUGAGAGCAAUCACUUACCAUUAUGGAUUAGCAUGCUAUGUUCUCUGGAUCAGUAGCAUGUGAAGUAGACAUGGAUGAGUGAUGAUUCUUGAUUUUGUUCAUUUAAAAAAUGAAAAAUAUAUAUCUUAUAAUGAAUAAAUAAGUCUGACUACCUACAGUAGCAUGUCAUGUUCCCUAGAUCGGUGGCAUGUGGAAUCGGGUUAGCUUGGGCAGUAAUUAAUAAUAAAAAUGUAAUUGUCGAACCAGGUGUAUACCAUAUUCUUGGGAUCGGUGGUAUGUUCCUUUGGGGAGACAAACAAAAAAAACUAAUAAUUGGUCGAGCCGGGUGUAUACCAUGUUCUCGGGAUCGGUGGUAUGUUCCUUUGGUGAGAUCAAUAAAAUAUUAUCAUUACUUUCUUCAAAUUCAAUAAGUGCUUUCAACUGCAAUGUUGUGUUCCUGGUAAUAAGUGAUCUGAUCUCAAGUUUAAGUUUUUUUUGUUUUUGGGAUCAGGCUCUCUUUAGGAACCUUUUGGCACAAUCAGCAUUUGAACUUACUAAUCUUCUUUUAUCAUUGUAAAAGUUUAAAAUGGCCAAGUCUACUAGUAUCCUACUGCUUUGUAGCACUCUAACCAUUAAUUUUCACUAACUAAGUCUGAAGCAUGCACUGUUUAGAGAUCUACUUCACUGGGACAUUCUCCAGUCAGCUCACUGUUCAUUAUCUAGCUCUUGUCAUAUUCCUUUACUUGAGGACAAGCAAAAGUUUAAGUGUGGGGGAACUUGAUAAGCACAUUUCUUAUAUAGAAUUUUGGAACACAAAUUCAUCAUUUAUUGAGAUAUAUUGUCGGUGACGGUUGCAGGGGCGCGGGGUUGCGAGAAGAGCAGGGCUAGUAGACAGCACAAAGAUCGUUUAUCCAGGUUCGGGCCGCGAGGAUGCGUAAAACCCUAGUCCUGGUUUGGUGGGUGUAUUUCAGAGAGUUCUUGAGCUCUCGGACUAGAUGUGGUCAGUGCAUGGUUCAAAAGAGCCGAAUCCUUCUCCAGUAUGUCAUGGGCCUCCUUUUAUAGUCGGAAGGGGCUGCCACAGUGGCACACAGGAGGUGGAAAGGCGUACAGUGCCCUGAGCUUAUCGCUCGUAUUACAGGUGAUAGAGGCGAGGGUGUCCCGAUCUUUCGAUGAGAUGAUAACUAUCGAUUAGGUGGAGUCGACUUUGACGAUCCGACUACAAACGUGCACGACGUUGCGCCUUAGCAAUCGCUAAACCAACUUCGAGAGGUUAUUGACCUCGCCGGAGCACGAUCAACCUGACCACGAAGGUCUAUUCCUGCAUGCAAUCAAAGAACAAGCAAGAAUAUGAUAAUGCAAUCUGAAUAUUGCGAAUAUAGAUGAAGUAUUGAUAAAGAUAGGGAUCCAUAAGCGGUCUUGGUCUGGUCGUUGGACACAAACGAAGUACACGAAGUUGCAAUGGCUAACUUUUAACUAAACAAAUCCCAAGCAAAAAGCUACUAGAUGGAUCUACUUAUAUAGGAGCAAGGGGUGGAGGCCAAAAAGGUGGGAGGACGUCCCAAGGCAGCCUAAAACCAACCCUAGGUCGUACAAGGCUCAUGGGCCCAAGUGGAGGUGAUGCAACACCUUUGGACUUGUUUUUGACUCGGAUUUUGCUGCAGCGUCAGAUUGUUUCGUCCAUAUCUCAAUGCUCCGGACGAAUUUAAAGGUGAAUCCAAUUGGGUUGGAAAGAGGACGAAAUUUACUUUCCAACAAAAAAAGAAUCACCCAAUUCGGAGUCCGUAUGAAAAAGUUGUUGGCGUUUUGAGUCAGGUAUGUCUGUGCAGUCCGAAUCUGAAUCCAGAACGUGAGAGACUUGGACUCUAUCUUCUCUUGGCCCAAAAGUGACGUGAGAGGACUUUUUGAAUAGAACCUAAACUUCUCCUUUUCCCCUAUCUUCAUAUGUGGAUUGUAUAAAUGUCCCAUACACCUGCAAUUAGACAAAACACAAAAGUGUGUGAAGUAUUUUUGUUCUGGAUAACAUAAAUAGAUUAUUGAAUAAUUUGCACUAGAAAUCACCUGACAAAUAUGCAUGUAUGCAAUAUUUUUGGUCGUAUCCAAGGUAGUCAUGUCCUCAUCAUCCUCCCCUUCUUGAAAAUAAAGCCGUCCUCGGCGUUGCUUAAUCUGAAAUGUGGCUAACAAAAGAGACAAGGUGUACAUGUUGUAUAUGUAUAUGUCAUCCAUUUUUACUUCCCGUGGAUUUUGCACAUAUGACACAUGUAUACAUGAGUAACUUUCAUAGUUAAUAAAAUAUAAAGCCAAAAUAUUAUUACAAGUAGAAGGCAUGAAAGUAUUGCAACUCAGUUUGCACAUAUAAGUGAAGCUCUUAUUCAUAUGAAAAGAUUGACAAUAUUCAUCAUUAAACCAUCCCAACAUUGGUGAAUAAACCUUACUUGCAUUAAAUUUACAUGCUACAACAUGCUUAAAUAAGCAAACAUGCAAUAAGUCAUUUGACACAGAAUCAUCACCAAGAUUAGAGGUCAUAUCAAAAUGAUUAAACAUUGGUUCUUUUGCAUCAACAAUUAAUUCAUUGGGUCCACUCAAAAUUGUUGGUAUUUCAGAUGUUUGAUCACAUGACGCAUUCAUGACAGUAACAUGAUUCUCUAGAUUAGGUGAUGCGCUCAAAUCAAUAGGUAACUCAACACAUGAUGUAUUCAAGUUAACUAGGCAUGCAUCAUUCUCAUGUGAAGUUAUAUCAUCAAUACCUUUACAGUUACCUUGUCGUAAAGAUGUAGCUGAUGUAGGUACGGAUGAUGGCAAUGUACCAUACUCUUGAGAUGAUGUCGCGCUCACAAUCUGAGGUGUGGCUGCUCUAGUAGGUGCGACGGUGGAGGAGCCAAGCGGUGGUGGUGAGCAUGAACUAGAAUAGUAGUUGUUGUAGUCAUCCAAUGCAUCCUCCUGUAACUGUCUCUCAAAGGUACAAGCACGAACAUACAUACCAGAUACUGAAAUCGUGCCUGAAUAUCAUGGUUCAAACCACCAAAAAAUCUAUUCAUUGUAUCAUCCUCAGAUUCUUCUAUGUCACAAUGAUGCAUAUAAGAUUUGAACUCUUGGUAGUAAGCAUGAACAGUGUCGUUGCCUUGUUUAAAUUGUUCAAAUUUGCAAAGCAAUUCACGACGAUAGUAAGGAGGGAAAAAUUAUUGUCUCAUUACCUCUUUCAAAUCUUUCCAAGUUGUGAGUUGGUUAUCAAUGUUUUUCUUACAAUGCACACUCCACCAAACAGAAGCAAAACCAGUAAAUGCUCUAGUGGCAGCUCGUACUCGCUCAAGUUCAGAAAAGUCAUGGUGACUAAAAACUUGUUCUACUUCAACCUCCCAAGCUAGAUAAAUAGCAGGAUUAAAUCUACCCUCAAAUGACGGUAAAGAGAUAACCUGACCAUGUACUUGUGUGUGUUGUCCCAACUCUUGUGAUGGUGAUGAUGUGUCCGUCGUCCAAGAACUUCUAUCUCCGGAACCUGUCAUGAUUAGUAGAAACAAGAAACAAAAUUCGAGAAUAAUGUUCUGAUGAACUACUAGGAUGUGGUUGCAAAGUGCUCACAGUAAAGAAAAUAUCAAUAUCUUGCUCGUUCUUCGAUUGCUUGCAGGAAUAUACCUUCGUGGUCAGGUUGAUCGUGCUCCGGCGAGGUCAAUAACCUCUCGAAGUUGGUUUAGCGAUUGCUAAGGUGCAACGUCGUGCACGUUUGUAGUCGGAUCGUCAAAGUCGACUCCACCAAAUCGAUAGUUAUCAUCUAAUCGAAAGAUCAGGGCACCCUCGCCUCUAUCAAGUGGUAUCAGUUUUCAGGUUGCUCGGUGAGAAUUUCCAGUUUCCCCUAGAUUAGAUUUAUUUUCUUAUCUAUUGUCCAAGAAAAAGCCACAAAAAAGUUAGAUCUAUUCAUCCUUUUGUCCAAGCCAGUCUGAGCCUUUGCAAUUUUCUUUUCAUUGUUUGCAUUAUUGAAUUAUCGGUUGCAUCGUCGUGUCGAAUUGCUGGUCUUAGGGUCUAGUUCGUUUAGAGUUUCGAGUUCUGUUCACAUUAGUCACGUCGCCGCUGCAUCGUUAUCCCUUCCGCUGUCCACCACACCAUCCAUCAAUUUCCACCACGUGCUACCCAUAGUUCAUUGUCACAAUCAUAGUUGAUGUCGUUCACAUCUUCGCUUGAUCCAAUCUGCAUCUUAUCUAGUUUGUCUUAGAGGGAGAGAAAAAAAGACAGAGAAAAAAAGAGAGAAAAAAAGAAAAAGAAGUCGGAGAAAAAAAAGAGAGAAAGAAAAAGAAAAAAAAAGUGUGAGGAAAAAAAGAGAGAAAAAACAACAAAAUUGUGUGAAGUAUCCAAUAUGCAUGCAUGCAAUAUUUUUGGUAGUAUCCAAGGUAGUCAUGACCUCAUCAACAGGACAAGACACAUUUAAUGCGUAGCUUAGGUGUCCCCUUGCUUUAUUGGGGACGGGGGCGAGGCUCGUCCCGUCCGUCGCCGCUCCUCCAUGCUUUGACACGUGCCCUGGCCAGUGAGGCACAUGGUGCCAUGUAGGCAGGCAGGCAGCUGAGGUGGCGCAGUGCCGGAGCCUUCACGAAGAUCUGCAUGCCGCCACGCAGGCGCUCGAUGAGUUGGCCUGGGAGCUGCAUGUUGUCACGCAGGUGCCCGCCCAGCUGGUUGGGCUGGCAGCUGCAUGUGAACGGCGGUGGAAGCUUGGUUGGCGUGGGCCUGGCGGUGGCCCUGCUGGCGUCCGUGGUGAGGGCCUUGCCGUGUGGCCCGGCAAGGGUCUUGCCGUGGCGCGCUAUCGUCCCCAGCGAGGGCCUUGCCGAGGGUCUGGUGGCCUUCCUCGGCAAGGAUCUUGCCGAGGAUCGUCGUCUUCUAAUUCUCAUCUGAUCUUGAAUAUGUCUUCACAAAGAUCUGCAUGCCACUACGGAGGUGCCUCCCGAGCCCUGGCCCAACGUGAUGUUGGAGAUCGUGGGCUCAAGGGUGGCCCGCUCUGUUGGUGCAGGGCGAGCUGUUCCGGCAAGGAUCUUGUCGGGGCUGCUGAGGCUGCCCCGGCAAGGGUCUUGCCGGGGGAACCUGCUUCAUCCCUCUGCUCUUUGUGGUCUUGGCCUUGACGUUGCUCUUAUUAUCUUGGGCUUUGGUCUUACCUUGGCUCACCUCCCCUGUUCUGCUUGGCGUGACCGUAGGCGCGGCUCCGACUGCCCGUGCACAGAUAUAGGGGUACAAAAACGCACCCCUUUUUUUGGACACCGACAGAAGCCCCCGGGCCUGGGCCACACAUAAGCGCGAUACGUUGUUGGGCCAGGCCCAAAACGUGCGCGGGCAGGCGGGGCGGUUUUUACCGCGGUAAAACUUUUCGCGCGUUGCGCUUCCAACGGCCCGCGCGGCGUGGAGGGGUGUGCGUGACGUGGGCGCCAUGCGUGGGACGGUUUCCACACGCAUGCGUCACAUCGCAGUAAAAAGGCGGCUCGCGCCUUCCCCGUAAAAAGAGGGAGGCGUGGAGGCGUGCUACCUCUUGAGCACUGCGUUGCUUUUCCCUUGAAGAGGAAAGGGUGAUGCAGCAAAGUAGCGUAAGUAUUUCCCUCAGUUUUUGAGAACUAAGGUAUCAAUACAGUAGGAGGCUACGCGCGAGUCCCUCGCACCUGCACAAUACAAAUAAAUCCUCGCAACCAACGCGACAAGGGGUUGUCAAUCCCUUCACGGUCACUUACGAGAGUGAGAUCUGAUAGAUAUGAUAGGGUAAUAUUUUUGGUAUUUUUAUGAUAAAGAUGCAAAGUAAAAUAAAAGCAAAGGCAAUAACAAAGUGUUGGAAGAUUAAUAUGAUGAAGAUAGACCCGGGGGUCAUAGGUUUCACUAGUGGCUUCUUUCAAAAGCAUAAGUAUUUUACGGUGGGUGAACGAAUUACUGUUGAGCAAUUGACAGAAUUGAGCAUAGUUAUGAGAAUAUCUAAGUAUGAUCAUGUAUAUAGGCAUCACGUCCGAGACAAGUAGACCGACUCCUGCCUGCAUCUACUACUAUUACUCCACUCAUCGACCGCUAUCCAGCAUGCAUCUAGAGUAUUAAGUUCAUAAGAACAGAGUAACGCCUUAAGCAAGAUGACAUGAUGUAGAGGGAUAAAUUCAUGCAAUAUGAUAAAAACCCCAUCUUGUUAUCCUCGAUGGCAACAAUACAAUACGUGCCUUGCUGCCCCUACUGUCACUGGGAAAGGACACCGCAAGAUUGAACCCAAAGCUAAGCACUUCUCCCAUUGCAAGAAAGAUCAAUCUAGUAGGCCAAACCAAACUGAUAAUUCGAAGAGACUUGCAAAGAUAACCAAUCAUACAUAAAAGAAUUCAGAGAAGAUUCAAAUAUUGUUCAUAGAUAAUCUUGAUCAUAAACCCACAAUUCAUCGGUCUCAACAAACACACCACAAAAAGAAGAUUACAUCGAAUAGAUCUCCACGAGAGAGGGGGAGAACAUUGUAUUGAGAUCCAAAAAGAGAAAAGAAGCCAUCUAGCUACUAACUAUGGACCCAAAGGUCUGAGGUAAACUAUUCACACUUCAUCGGAGAGGCUAUGGUGUUGAUGUAGAAGCCCUCCGUGAUGGAUGCCCCCUCCGGCGGAGCUCCGGAACAGGCCCCAAGAUGGGAUCUCAUGGGUACAGAAGGUUGCGGUGGUGGAAUUAGGUUUUUGGCUCCGUAUCUGAUCGUUUGGGGUACGUAGGUAUAUAUAGGAGGAAGAAGUACGUCGGUGGAGCAACGUGGGGCCCACGAAGGUGGAGGGCGCGCCCUGGGGUGGGGGGGUGGGCGCGCCCCCUACCUCGUGGCCUCCUGGAAGCUUCUCUGACGUAAGGUCCAAGUCUCCUGGAUCAUGUUCGUUCCAAAAAUCACGCUCCCGAAGGUUUCAUUCCGUUUGGACUCCGUUUGAUAUUUUUUUCCCGCGAAACUAUGAAAUAGGCAAAAAAAAAUAGCAAUUCUGGGCUGGGCCUCCGGUUAAUAGGUUAGUCCCAAAAAUAAUAUAAAAAUGGAUGAUAAAGCCCAAUAUUGUCCAAAACAGUAGAUAAUAUAGCAUGGAGCAAUCAAAAAUUAUAGAUACGUUGGAGACGUAUCAAGGCGCGACUCAUUUAUUGAACGGGGCCAGGGCGCGGUCUUCAAGGCAUCCACUCCCCACGAUCACGGGGUGGGGAGAGGUUGCUUCGCCCGUCCCCUCGGUUCUGCAUGUAUGCCACGCGUCCUCCAUGCACCUAGGGUGGCAAGCGGUGGAGGCGGGAAACCGGGCCGUCGCUGGUUGGGGCAGCGGGUCGGUCCUGAUUCCCCGUGGCUUUGGUGGCUGGAUUGGCCGAGUGAGGCGGCCGAGCCCCGUCCCCGCCUCCUUAUAAAGAGGGGGAAGGGGGGAUGGCAUCCCACACUCUUCCGUCAUCUAUCUCCACUCGCUUCUACUUCUUCCUUUCACUCGCCAUGGAGAAAGGGAAUCAUGGUCCCUCAACGGUGGCGGCGAGGGUCGCCGCCCGACAGCACGUCCCUCCUCCUCCUGAGCCCGCGGUGGUGGAACCGGCCGCGUGGGGAAGGGGGAGGGGGCGAGGUCGUCGGCGAGGCCGGGGCAGAGGUCGUAGUGCUCGGGGAAGAGGAGGACGGGGCGGCGCACCGGCUUCACCCCCGCCAAUGAUGCCUUUUCCAAUGGAAGGCCAUGUUGGAGACCAGCCCCGUGAAUUUUUCAUCAGGCUGCGCUGGCCUUCGCGUCGCCGUCUUCGUCUUCCCGCCCCGUUCGCUCGGGAGAUGGAGUGUGACCCGCCCCAGUCCCUCAGAUUGCACAUGAGGGGUUGUGGGAAUGGGGGCACGCGGGUCGACGUCGACUUCCCGGCUCCCCGGGUCAUGUACCUCCGUCAUGGGUGGAAGACGUUCGCUCGCAUCCACAGCCUAACGGCGGGGCUCGUCCUCUACUUCAAAUUAAUGGAGGACGACCUGCUCUCCGUCAAGGUCUUCGGCGACUUCGGGACUCGCCUGAAGUGCUGCGUGGAGAGCUCCUCCGAUGGAGAUUCCGACGAUGGAAGCUCUACCUCGAGCGAAAGUGAUGAGGAGGACAACGGGGCAGACGGCGGGGACGAGUCCGACUAGGCGUCGGACGCCUGGUGCCUGGGCGGGUGCGGCAGCAGCAACAUCUGCACUUGGCCGCUCCUCCGGCAGAGUUUUGCCGGGGGUGGGGCCAGCUCCUUGAACUUCUCGGGGCCGUCUCCUUGGGCGGCUGGCGUCGAGAGGCUGCGGAAGAGGAAGAGGGCGGGCGGCAACGCCGUUAACUCGGAGUACGCGGGCACCGACGCCUUCGUGGCGUACUGCCGGUCCUGCCGCCUCGUCUUCCAGCUCCUUUCCCGGCACCGUCAUCACCGGCCCGCCCCUGGGCGGUCACCAAGGUGUUCUCUUGGUGCUUUCUGCCGCUCGUAGCUCGCCUAGGCGCCCCUUUUGCCCUUUCGCCUCAUUGACCUGCCUCCUGAGGAGAGGGACAAGAAAGGGAUUACGGGCAUCUUAUCCUUCUUCUUUAGUUUGUAAGCCUGCGGGCCUUUGUUAAAUUUAGAACUUGUAAUCCCCUUGCUCAUGUUUUUCAUUUCGUACGAACUGUACCUGUAUGGGAUGUUUUUAAUGAAAAAGGGAUGCUUGCCGGGUUUUUCGUUCGUGGGUAAACCCCGCGACAAGGAGCGAAUCCUUGUUAUUGUUUAAGAUAAACGUUUUUCGCCCGGCAACAGGCCUUGCCGCCCCCCACUCCACUCGACCGUUCUCGCGCUCUUGGCGGAGGCAGGGAUGAAGUGGGCUUUAGGCUCCUCGUUCUACCUCCUUGCCGCCGCGGCUACAACCAAAUCCGGACCUAGGAAAUAAUCCUUAGGUAUAGGAAAAAGGGGAGCACGACAGCCUAGAGAUAAAAACGAGGUUUCACAUGCCCCAGUCCUGUUCUGAAAUGCAUGACAGAGGAUAAAAGACUUAUCUGGAUCUGCAGCCCCCAGCAAUCUCAUCUUGCCGCGGUUGGAACCUUGUGCUUGCAGCCCCCGGCAACUCUGGUUUACCGGGGUCGGGACGCCGGUCCGUUUUCUUUCUUCCAAGUAGCUCGACAGAAGUGCUCAUGUGCCCUGCGAACCAAAGGAGGACGGAAGAGAAACAGAUAGACGCGCAUUCGACCUCUAAGCUAGGGGUUAGUCGCUGCUGAGCACUAUCAACCCUAACCAAGGAAGAGACUCGACCUAGCAUGCAUGCUAUGACUGAGGGCGCCAGCGCUUCAUUUAUUUAUGCUCAGGGUCUGUGCCUGGCUUUGUACGAAGGGUUACAUGCCUUGCCGGCAAAGCUUGUACAAAAGGUGGCUUGCCGGGAGGCCCAGCAAGCCGCGCCUUAUGGGUAAAACUUGCGAAGAUGCUCGAUGUUCCAGGAGUUCCUCACUGGGAUGGCAUCUUCGGUCUCCAGGUGGACUGCGCCGGGCCUGGUGACUCGUAUUACCCGAUAAGGGCCUUCCCACUUCGGCGUCAACUUGUUGGCAUUCUCGGCCGACUGAACGCGCCGAAAAACAAGGUCGCCUUCCUCAAAGCUUCGGGCAUGAACCUUGCGGCUAUGGUAGCAGCGCAAGGCUUGCUGGUAGCGCGCUGCUCUCACAGCCGCCCGAAGACGAUCUUCCUCAAGGAGCGUCGCAUCAUCUUGGCGCAACUGCUCUUGCUCAAGCUCAUCAUAAGCGAGCACUCGAGGUGACCCGUAUAUGAGUUCCGUGGGGAGAACUACUUCUGCCCCGUAGACCAGGGCAAAAGUUGUCUGGCUGGUGGCUCGAUUUGGCGUCGUCCUGAUCGACCAAAUAACCGCCGGCAAUUCAUCAAUCCAGCGCCUUCCGCUCUUGCGCAGCUUGUCAAAAGUCUUUGUCCUUAGGCCUCGCAACACUUCAGCAUUCGCCCUCUCCGCUUGGCCGUUGCUCCGUGGGUGUGCCACGGAAGCAAAACAGACCUUGCUGCCGAGGUCUUGAAUGUAUUGCAUGAAGGUGUGGCUCGUGAACUGCGUGCCGUUGUCGGUGAUGACUCUAUUUGGCACACCAAAACGGCAGACCAGUCCUUUAAAAACUUGACAGCUGACUGAGCAGUCACCUUUCUCACUGCUUCCACCUCCGGCCACUUUGUGAACUUGUCGAUUGUAACGUACAAGUAUUCAAAGCCCCCGACAGCGCGGGGGAAAGGGCCCAGUAUGUCGAGCCCCCAGACCGAGAAUGGCCAGGAGAGAGGGAUUGUUUGAAGGGCUUGGGCUGGUUGAUGAAGCUUCUUUGAAUGAAACUGACACGCUUCUGUAACGCCCCGGAUCCGAUGCGCCAGGUGUCACACAGUUAUUCGCUGUCGUUGCCAUGUCAUUUGCUUGCGUGUUGCAUUUUGCCAUGUCAUCAUAUGCAUUUCAUAUCAUGUCAUCAUGUGCUUCGCAUUUGCAUACGUGUUCGUCUCAUGCAUCCGAGCAUUUUCCCCGUUGUCCGUUUUGCAAUCCGGCACUCCUAUGUCACCCGGCGCCCCCUUUUGUCUUCUUCUCGUGUGCGGAUGUUAAACAUUUUCGGAAUGGACCGAGUCUUUUCAAGUGGCCUUGGUAUACCACCGGUAGACCACCGGUCAAGUUUCGUUCCAUUUGGAGGUCGUUUGGUACUCCAACGGUUAACCGGGUAACCGCAAAGUCCGUUUUGGUAUUGCAGCAAACCCCCCUUUCAAACAGCCACAAAACCCCUCUAAGUCCCUGUCAUGCUCUCGGUCGUUCGAUCACGAUCGCGUGGGCGAAAACCGCACCCCGUUUGGACUCUCCUAACUCCCUCUACCUAUAUAAACACCCCCUCCCCGAAAUUUCGGAUCAAUUCCACCCUAACCCUAAUAUUUUUCCCUCCGCGCCGCCGGACGUUUCGUCCUCCGCAGCCGGACAUGUCCAUUUCGCCGCCGCCGCCGCCCGCGGCCAAUCGGCACGCGCCACCUGUCCNNNNNNNNNNNNNNNNNNNNNNNNNNNNNNNNNNNNNNNNNNNNNNNNNNNNNNNNNNNNNNNNNNNNNNNNNNNNNNNNNNNNNNNNNNNNNNNNNNNNNNNNNNNNNNNNNNNNNNNNNNNNNNNNNNNNNNNNNNNNNNNNNNNNNNNNNNNNNNNNNNNNNNNNNNNNNNNNNNNNNNNNNNNNNNNNNNNNNNNNNNNNNNNNNNNNNNNNNNNNNNNNNNNNNNNNNNNNNNNNNNNNNNNNNNNNNNNNNNNNNNNNNNNNNNNNNNNNNNNNNNNNNNNNNNNNNNNNNNNNNNNNNNNNNNNNNNNNNNNNNNNNNNNNNNNNNNNNNNNNNNNNNNNNNNNNNNNNNNNNNNNNNNNNNNNNNNNNNNNNNNNNNNNNNNNNNNNNNNNNNNNNNNNNNNNNNNNNNNNNNNNNNNNNNNNNNNNNNNNNNNNNNNNNNNNNNNNNNNNNNNNNNNNNNNNNNNNNNNNNNNNNNNNNNNNNNNNNNNNNNNNNNNNNNNNNNNNNNNNNNNNNCGACCCCGCCGCCGGCGCCCGCGCUGCCGCCGGCCAUCGCCCCGCCGUCGCCUGGCCUGGCCUCCCCUCCACUCCGGCCGCCGCCGAUCGACUCCGGCGAGCCGGCGCCCGAUCCAGAACGAGCCCGCGUUGACUUCGUUCCCCCCCUCGAGGUCGUUAUUUUUCUAAGUCCCCAGUUCUUAUUAAUAUGUGCACAUGUUCAACUGUGUGUAACUUCAUGCAUGUAGCUCCGAUUCGCGCGUAUAAUAUGUCGAAUUGUUCGUCCCGUGAUGCUCUACAUUUUGUUCAAUUGCACCAUGUUCAUUAGAGGUCAUCUUGAUGCCUUAAUCAUCGUUGCAAGAGGGCUAGUUGCUGUUAUCUGCUGAUUCUUAUCAGAACUUGGAGAUUUGUCAUUUUUGUAUCAUUUAAUCUGUGCAUCUUUUGGGCAUGACCUCUACAUGUGUUUUGAAGUAUGCCAUGCCAUCUUUCCAGUGGUGUAGUCCAUGUAUUUGUGUGAUCUCUGUGGUGACUAGCACAAGCACGCAAAGUAGGCCCCGUAAUAUUUCUGAUUUCAGGGACUUAGUGAUUUCUCUAAGUCCUUGUCUGCUGUAAUUUUGUUGCCUUGUUAACUUGAUGCUACAGAGAGAUCCAUGCAUAUUUUGGAGAUGUUCAGUAAGGAUGUUUUGUAGAUAUUGUUAUAAUUGAUCCAUUACUGCCCUUGUUUGCAAUUAUGGUGUGCCAUAGCAUGUCUCAAUCUUGCUCUACUUUUGCUAUAAAAUAUUUCUGGCAGAUUCUUAACAUGAUAUGCAAUCUUGCCAAGCUUAUUGUAAUUGAUCCAUACAUGCUAUGAUUAUACUCUUGCCAUGGUUAGCUUCAUAAACAUGCCAUCUUGCUGUAGAUAUACUUAGGUUAUCAUUCAUUGCUCUGUAGUGAGUGCAUCAAGCUCACAAAGAGGCCUACAUAUUAUAGUUUCUGCCAUGCUCUGUUUUUUGCCAAGUCUGAAACCAGAUAACGAAACUUGCUAUGUUCACAUGCUUGCCAUCAUAUCUUCUGGUCCUUUUUCGCUUAUGGUCAGUAAGGGACUUUUGUUAUAUGCUUUGAGUAGAUUCAUGCCAUGCCUUUCUUUGCUAUGUUAAGUCCCUGUAGCAUGUUGAUUUCGUGCUCUGAACAUUGCUACCUGAUGCUGUUUCUGUCAUGUCCAGUAAUUCUGCCAAGUCUGUGAACCUGUUAUUAUUUGCAAUCUUGCCAUGUCCUUUUGAGCAUUUUCUAUUGAUUUCUGGAGAUAGCUCAGUGUUCAUGUUUUGUUGUGCUUUACCUGUACAUCAUGUCCUUGUCUUUUGUUUUCAUGUUGAGUUGCUGUAGCAUAUUGUUUUGAUGCUUGCCAUAUGCCUAGUUGCUGUUUUGGACAGAUUGUUGCUAUGUCUUGUUUGGAGUGUAUGUGUUGCACCGUUGCUCCGUUUUGAGCAUGCUCUAUAUGAAACUUGCUUAGUUUUGCAUGUAGUCUCAUAUUAUCAUGUUGCAUCCUUGUGUUGAGGUGUGUGCUUGAUGUUUGUAUGCAUUUUGCACCAAUGCCAUGCUCAUCUUGUCUUGCUCAUAUCUUCUAGGCCGUAGCUCCGAAUCUAAUGAACUUUAUAUGUAACUUGACUAGAAUUUCGUGUAGAUCAUCAUGGUGCUCUUUAACUUGCUGUUUAACAACUUUAACUUAAUGCUUGUUCAGUUCUGGACCAAUUUUGAAAUUUGCAUAUGAGGACUUACCGGAAUUGUUAUGUGUUGUUUCCGGCCUCAUUUAAACUUGCCUUGAUGUGUUGCUCUUGUAUGCAUCCUUUCUUGCCGUGUGUAGCCUCAUAUUGCCUUGUCAUGCAUCAUUCUUGAUUGAGCAUCAUGCCUUGUUCAUGUGUGGUGUGUUUACCUUGUUGUGUGUUUCUUCUCGAUAGCUCCUGUGUCGUUGCGAUCGUGAGGAUUCGUUCGUCUUCGUGGCUUCAUCUUCUUCAUGGAUUCGUUCUUCUUCCUAGCGGGAUUUCAGGCAAGAUGACCGUCACCUUGGAUCUCAUUACUAUCAUUGCUAUGCUAGUUGCUUCGCUCUAUCGCUUUGUUGCGCUACCUAUUCACUUGUUCCUCAAGCCUCCCAUUUUGCCAUGAACCUCUAACCUUUGUCACCCUUCCUAGCAAACCAUUGUUUGGCUAUGUUACCGCUUUGCUCAGCCCCUCUUAUAGCGUUGCUAGCUGCAGGUGAAGAUGAAGAUUGCUCCAUGUUGGAUUAUGUUUAUGUUGGGAUAUCACAAUAUCUCUUAUAUUAUUAAUGCAUCUAUAUAUUUGGUAAAGGGUGGAAGGCUCGGCCUUAUGCCUGGUGUUUUGUUCCACUCUUGCUGCCCUAGUUUCCGUCAUACCGGUGUUAUGUUCCCGGAUUUUGCGUUCCUUACACGGUUGGGUGAUUUAUGGGACCCCCUUGACAGUUCGCCUUGAAUAAAACUCUUCCAGCAAGGCCCAACCUUGGUUUUACCAUUUGUCCAGCCUAUUUCUUUUCCCUAGGGAGUCGCUCUCUCGAGGGUCAUCUUAUUUUAACCCCCCCGGGCCAGUGCUUCUCUAAGUGUUGGUCGAACUGAGUAGACUGCGGGGCCACCUCGUGGAAACUCGAGGUCUGGUUUUACUCGUAGGAUGUCUCAUCCGAUGUUGCCCUGAGAACGAGAUAUGUGCAGCUCCUAUCGGGAUGUCGGCGCAUCGGGCGGCUUUGCUGGUUUUGUUUUACCAUUGUUGAAAUGUCUUGUAACCGGGAUUCCGAGACUGAUCGGGUCUUCCCGGGAGAAGGAAUAUCCUUCGUUGACCGUGAGAGCUUAUCAUGGGCUAAGUUGGGACACCCCUGCAGGGUAUUAUCUUUCGAAAGCCGUGCCCGCGGUUAUGUGGCAGAUGGGAAUUUGAUAAUAUCCGGUUGUAGAGAACCUGACACUUGACCUUAAUUAAAACGCAUCAACCGCGUGUGUAGCCGUGAUGGUCUCUUCUCGGCGGAGUCCGGGAAGUGAACACGGUUUCUGGGUUAUGUUUGACGUAAGUAGGAGUUCAGGAUCACCUCUUGAUCAUUGCUAGUUUCACGACCGUUCCUUUGCUUUCUCUUCUCGCUCUUAUUUGCGUAAGAUAGCCACCAUACAUUGCUUAGUCGCUGCUGCAACCUCACCACCUUAUCCUUUCCUUUCCCUUUAAGCUUUGCUAGUCUUGAUACCCAUAAUAAUGGGAUUGCUGAGUCCUCGUGGCUCACAGUUUACUACACCACCAGUUGCAGGUACAGGUUGUGCGAUGAUCAUGACGCGAGAGCGAUGUGUACUUGUUUUGGAGUUCUUCUUCUGCUUCUUCUUCGCUCAGGGGAUAGGUUCCAGGUCGGCAGCCUGGGCUAGCAGGGUGGAUGUCGUUUGAGUCUCUGUUUAUGUUUCAUCCGUAGUCGGAUGUUGAGCUUAUGUAUGAUGUAUUGAUGUAUCCUUGCGGCAUUUGUAUGCCUUGUAUGUAUCCCCAUAUAUUUUGUAAUGUCGAUGUAAUGAUAUCCACCUUGCAAAAGCGUUUCAAUAUGCGGGUCUAUCCUUGGUGGGACCUUCGAGUUCCUGUAGGAUAGGGUCGCAUAUUGGGCGUGACAGCUUCACACUUGGUUACUAGUGCCGUCGCAUCCUGGAGGGCGGUGGGCCAGAAAAAACCUUGUCGGAACGCCUUCCCGGCAAGGGCCCUUGACCCUAUGUGGGAGCCACAUAUGCCUCCAUGUAUCUCCGCCAACAGCUCCAGUCCUUCUAACUGGGGGAUGCACUUCAAUUUCAUGCCAUUCGGCCUUCUCCUGUACAGGACAUCAUCGACGAACUGGUACAGGGCGGACCGACGGGCUACUUUCUCCGCUUCUUCCUGCUCCUCAGGAAGCUCCCCUGUUUGGAGGAAUCGAACGGUAUGCUGCGCCCAUGCCGGAGCCCGGGCUCGACGACAAGGACCAAAGGCAUUUCUUCCGCCAUGGGAGCGGCUGUCUCUACGGCUAGGGCUUGACGCCCUGCCGGAGGUAGCUACUCUUGGGCAGGCUCGGCGUCCGUGGCGGCACCCUUGCCGGCAGCCCCAGAGGGUUCGGUAGGAAAGUACUUGCCGGGACCCGACUUCCUUCGCUUGUUCUGCCCCGUUGAUGGUUUGACGGAUGGUUGAGUUAGCUGGAGCAAAAAGGUACCUGGUUCCACAGGUAGCUUGAAUGCGGCACACUUUGACAGGUAAUCGGCGGUGUCGUUCUCCAUUCGGGGGACGUGCUCCGCUAGGAUACCGUCAAAGCGCUCCUCCAGCUUCCUCACUUCAUCUACGUAGGCUUCCAUCAAUGGGCUUUGGUAAUCCUUAUUGACCUGCCUGACAACAAGCUGCGAGUCACCCCUGACGAUGAGCUUCUUAACCCCGAGGUCUGCCGCGAUCCUGAGACCGGCAAGCAAUCCCUCGUACUCAGCAGUGUUGUUGGUGGACAUCUCUCGGGGAAAGUGCAUCUGGAUCACGUACUUGAGGUGCUCCCCGGUAGGUGCGACGAGUAGCACACCGGCAUCGGCGCCUUGCAGCGAGAAAGCCCCAUCAAAGUACAUGAUCCAGUCGCGAUCUUCCUCCUUGCCGGGGAGUGUGGUCUCCUGGAUUUCUUCGUCAGGUGUUGAGGUCCAUUCUGCAAUGAACUCCGCCAAGACUCUGCUCUGAAUUGUCGAGGUACUUUCAAACUUCAAACCGAAACUUGACAACUCUAAGGCCCACUCCACAAUCCUCCCGGUUGCAUCCGGGUUAUGCAGUAUCCGUUGCAAAGGGAGGCGGGUGACGACAGUGAUCUCGUGGGCUUGGAAGUAAUGACGCAGCUUCCUCGAGGCCAUAAGAAGGCCGAAGAGCAAUUUCUGCACACCGGAGUACCUCGAUCUAGCCCCCUGCAAGAGGGAGCUGACAAAGUAAACCGGGUGCUGCAUCAUCUUCUUCUUCUGCACCACCCCACUUGACUGCGCGGGCACUGCCUCGGUGGCAUCAGACUCUGCCGGGGGCCUCGCCUUGCCGGCACCAGGCCCUGCCGGGGGAAUCUUGGGCUUGCCAUCCGCUGGUUCUGCCGCCGUCACUGCCUCCUCGUUGACCUCCCUCUGUGCCACUAGCGCGGUGCUGACCACUUGAUUUGUCGCCGCCAGAUACAGCAGCAACGGCUCUUGUGGUUUAGGCGCAACCAGUAUUGGCGUGGAGGAAAGGUAUUUCUUCAGAUCCUGCAAUGCUUCCUCGGCUUCUGGGGUCCAUUCCAUUGGGCCUGCCUUCUUCAAGAUUUUGAAGAAAGGAAGGGCGCGCUCGGCGGACUUGGAGAUGAAUCGGCUCAUGGCGGCAACGUAGCCGGUGAGCCGACGCACAUCCUUGAUCCGCUUGGGCGCCUCAAUCUGCUCAAUAGCCUUGAUUUUGUCUGGGUUUGCCUCGAUUCCGCGCUGCGAUACAAAGAACCCGAGAAGCUUGCCGGAUGGAACGCUGAAGACACACUUCUCAGGGUUCAGCUUGAGGUUGAUCUUGCGCAGGUUGGCAAAUGUCUCUUCCAGAUCUUCCACAAGAGUUGGCCCGUCCUUGGUUUUGACUACUAUGUCAUCCAUGUAGGCCUCCAUAUUUCUAUGGAGCUGAGGUUCAAAACCAAUUUGGACUGCUCUUGCAAAUGUUGAGCCAGCGCUCUUCAACCGAAAGGCAUCCGUAAAAAGCAAUACGUACCACAUGGGGUGAUGAACGCUGUCUUUUCUUCAUCCUCUCUUGUCAUGAAGAUAUGGUGGUAGCCCGAGUAGGCGUCGAGGAAUGACAACAGAUCACACCCGGCCGUGGAGUCAACAAUCUGGUCGAUGCGCGGCAACGGGAAGGGGUCCUUAGGACAAGCCUUAUUGAUAUCUGUGUAAUCAAUACACAACCUCCACUUCCCAUUCGCCUUGCGCACCACUACCGGAUUGGCCAACCACAUCGGGUGGAGCACUCCCCUCACCAAACCUGCCGCUUCCAACUUCCUGAUCUCCUCCGUGAUGAACUCCUGCCUCUCCAGAGCCUGCUUUCUGACCUUCUGCUGGAUGGGCCGCGCAUGGGGGCUGACAACUAGGUGGUGCUCAAUCACCUCCCUGGGAACAACGGGGAUGUCGGAUGCUUUCCAUGCAAACACGUCGACAUUCGACCGCAGGAAGGUGACGAGCGCGCCUUCCUAUUUGCUACCGAGGGUGGAGCCUAUGGUGAAGGCCCCUCCCGUGCCAUCCUCCCUGGUGGACACCUUCUUGGUUUGCGGCGGCUCGGCUCUAGAUCUCUUGCUCUUGUCGGUAGAGCUCUCUGGCACGGCCUCGACGGCAGCACAACACUCCGAAGAGGUGCGCUUGCCGGAGUGGGUGCGAGAGGUCUUGCCGGGCUUCUUCCUCCCUCCCGGGGCUUCAGCGGCAGGAGCAGGUGCCUUGGCGGCAGCUGCUGCAACUGCCUCCCGGUAGAGUUGGUCGGCGCAAAUCAGCGCGUCCUUCUUGUCGGAGGGGACGGAGAUGAUGGUCAACGGCCCGAGCAUCUUUAGCAUGUUGUAGGCGUAGUGUGACGCCGCCAUAAACUUGGCUAGUGCCGGGCGGCCGAGGAUCCCGCUGUAGGGCAAGGGGAUCUCGGCCACGUCGAAGACGAUCCUCUCCGUCCUGUAGUUCAACUCUCCUCCAAAUGUCACGGGCAGUGUGACCUUUCCCUUCGGCUGGCUCCUCCCCGGAUUGACCCCUUGAAACGUGCCCGUUUCCUCGAGGUCUCCAUCAGGGAUUUGCAACCUUUUGAUCACGACAGGCGAGAUCAGGUUUAGGCCGGCCCCGCCGUCAACCAACAUCUUGUUCACCCUGAAGUUGCGUAUUGUUGGUGAGACCAACAAUGGCAAACACCCGACCGCGGUAGUGCGGUCAGGGUGGUCUUCGGCGUCAAAGAUGAGGGGCGUGCUGGACCACUUCAGCGGCUUCUGAGCGUCGAACGACGGCUCUUCUGCUGUAAUCUCACGCGCCCACUGCUUGAGCUAGCGGUGAGAGGUAUGCAGCGAGGCGCCGCCAUCGACGCACAUGGCCUCCGUAGCCUUCUGGAACCCUUGCUCACCAGACUCGUCGUCCUUGUCGUGAUCAUCGUCUUCUUGUUUCUUGUCGCGGCCCCGGGCGGGCCUCUCUUGCUGGUUGUCCUUGCCGGGGUAGCCUCCUUGGCCGCCACGCUUCUUGCCGGAUCCCUCAGCACCGUCCUGGUCCUUCUCCUUGUCCCGCCUCUCGUACUCAGCCUUUUGCUUCUUAGGAAGCAGCUCGACUUGUCGGCAGUUCUGGAGGUCGUGGCCCUUGGUGCGGUGGAUCUUGCAGUAUUGCUUGCCGGAGCUCCCUGGCUUGUCGGUAGCUGCCAAGGCCCGGCAGGCGGCGCACCAGGCAAUCUCCUUGUCGGGAGCGCCUGCCUUGACCUUCUUGCCGGCACCGGUGUCGCCAGAUCCCUCAACGGCAAGCACGGCCUUACCCUUGCGUUUCCUGUUGUGACGCCGGCCCUUCUUCGUCGGGGUAGCGGCGUCCUCAUCGGUAGAGUCGGUUUCCGCGCCGGCGUCUUCGCCGGGGUACUUCCUUCCCUCUUCAGCCCGGGCGCAUCUAUCGGCCAGAACGUAGAGCUCGGCCACAUCCUUAAUCUUGGUCAUCGCCAGCUCCUCGCGCAUCUUGCGAUUGCGCACGUUCUGGUGGAAUGCGCUAAUCACAGCGGCAGGAUGAACGUCGGGGAUGUUGUACUGCACCCGGCUGAAUCUCUGGAUGUACUUGCGCAGGGUCUCCCCUUCCUUCUGGGGAAUGAUAUGCAGAUCACUGGCCUGGCCAUGAGCUUGGUGGCCUCCUGUGAAGGCGCCAACGAACUCAUGGCAUAGAUCCGACCAAGAAGAAAUGGAAUCCACCGGCAAGUGCAUCAACCAAGACAUCACAUUGGGCUUGAGCGCCAGCGGGAAAUAGUUGGCAAGCACCUUGUCGUUGCGAGCCCCAGCCUGCAUCGCGAUGGUGUAGAUGCUGAGGAACUCAGACGGAUGGGUCUUGCCAGUGUACUUCUCGCCGACGUCGGGCUUGAACGUGCGGUGGGACGACCACUGGAACUGCUGCAGCUCACGGGUAAAGGCCGGGCAGCCCACCUCGUAAGGUAGGCCGCCGGAGCCCCCCGGUGCCGGGUGGUCCAUAGCGGGUCCCGCCCGCUUGUCCGACUGGCGGCGCGUUUCGCGCCGGCGCUCGACGGUGGUUCGAGCGUCUUUGUGAGCUCGUUCCCGAAGGACCUGGCGCUGGUCGCGGAGGGUCCGCGGGUCGGAUGACACUAUGGAGAUGUUAUCACAAGCGUCGUCACGACGGGCUGAUGCCCGCGGCGGCUGGCGAGGAGGAGGAGAGUGCACCGUGGGCGCAACUCCCCCGGUCCUCCCAGCGCCAGCAUGCGGUGGCUCGGUGGAGCGCCGACCCGAGGGUCCCGCCGGUCGUGGAUUGUCUUUAUUGGCGACGGCGAUGAGGCUUCGGGUGGUGGCCCUCCACUCGUCAAGCUUCUCCGCAGCAGGAGGGAAGUCGAGGAGUAGCUGUGCGCGCGCCAAAGCUUCUGCCGGCGUGGGCGGCGGCGACAGCUACGUGGAUCGCGGCGCGCUUCGACUUCUAACUACGUUAGAAGGAGCUCCGUUACAACCCAGCGGCUACGUGCCAUUUUCGCCAGCGCUUCGGCGGGCGUGCUGAACCCCUUCAUCCUGCGGACGACGCACUGGGCUCUUCCCACGGUGGUGCCCAGGGUCACCAACGCGGUGACGCUGCUCGACACGCACACCAUGGAAGAGCGCACAGUGGUCGCCGGUGUGGGCGUCCUGGAGGUCGCUGCGCCGCCCGGAGGUGGCACAACGACACCCCUGGAGGGCCCGCGCCGCCUACGGGGGGCCCAGCUCCGUCUUUGGAUCCGGCGACGUGUAGCCGGUCGUCUGGUGCGCGAACGACGUCGCUCGCCAGGCUCUGACUACCAGGGCGUUGCUGGUGCUCGCGGACCGCGACCCGGGUCCUGUCUGUGACCGGUCCACUGCCCGCCCGCACCGGCACGGGCCGUUCGGCUCCCAACGAGCCGACCGCCGUGGCUGUCUUCUUCUUAGGAGCCAUGGCGACGAAGAACUACUAGGCUAACUACUAGACCAGAUUCUCACAAUUGCGCCCCCUACCUGGCGCGCCAAAGAUGUCGGUGUGGAACGACACCUACGGGAUCACAAGAAUCCCUACUACGGUUGCCGGGGUGCGGGGUUGCAAGAAGAGCAGGGCUAGUAGACAACACAAAGAUCGUUUACCCAGGUUCGGGCCGCGAGGAUGGGUAAAACCCUAGUCCUGCUUUGGUGGGUGUAUUUUCAGAGAGUUCUUGAGCUCUCGAACAAGCUGUGGUCAGUGCGUGGUUCAAAAGAGCCGAAUCCUUCUCCAGUAUGCCAUGGGCCUCCUUUUAUAGUCGAAAGGGGUUGCCACAGUGGCACACAGGAGGUGGAAAGGCGUACAGUGCCCUGAGCUUAUCGCUCGUAUUACAGGACAAGAUGCAUUUAAUGCGUAGCUUAGGUGUCCCCUUGCUUUAUUGGGGAUGGGGGCGAGGCCCGUCCCGUCCGUCGCCGCUCCUCCUCGCUUUGACACGCGCCCUGGCCAGUGAGGCGCGUGGUGCCAUGUAAGCAGGCAGGCAGGCAGCAGAGGUGGCGCAGUGGCGGAGCCUUCACGAAGAUAUGCAUGCCGCCACGUAGGCGCUUGAUGAGUUGGCCUAGGAGCUGCAUGUUGCCACGCAGGUGCCCGCCCAGCUGGUUGGGCUGGCAGCUGCAUGUGAACAGCGGUGGAAGCUUGGUUGGCGUGGGCCUAGCGGUGGCCCUGCUGGCGUCCGUGGUGAGGGCCUUGCCGGGUGGCCCGGCAAGGGUCUUGCUGUGGCGCGCUGUCAUCCCCGGCGAGGGCCUUGCCGGGGGUCUGGUGACCUUCCUCGGCAGGGAUCUUGCCGAGGAUCGUCGUCUUCUAAUCCUCAUCUGAUUUUGAAUAUGUCUUCACAAAGAUCUGCAUGCCACCACGGAGGUGCCUCCCGAGCCCUGGCCCAACGUGAUGUUGGAGACCAUGGGCUCAAGGGUGGCCCGCUCUGUUGGUGCGAGGCGAGCUGUCCCGGCAAGGAUCUUGCCGGGGCUGCUGAGGCUGCCCCAGCAAGGGUCUUGCCGGGGAACAUGCUUCGUCCCUCUGCUUUUUGUGGUCUUGGCCUUGGCGUUGCUCUUAUUAUCUUGGACUUUGGUCUUACCUUGGCUCACCUCCCCUGUUCUGCUUGGCGUGACCGUAGGCGCGUCUCCGACUGCCCGUGCACAUGUAUAGGGGUACAAAAACGCACCCUUUUUUUUGUACACCGACAUAUAUCUAUCCAUUCUUGCUACGACUUGUUGAAUAUUCGAAUGAUAAUCAUAAAAGAGAAUGUUGACUAGUGAAUUGUUUAUUUUGCAGAAAAGUGCGCAAAGGCACUAUAAUCGUCAAGAUUUCUACUAUGUGGCUAACGAGAAGAGACAAGGGUAUGAAAGAAAUACGUCAAGGCCUGAGCGUGAAGGAAAGAAGUAAUGUAGGGGAGCAAACUAAAAGAAGAGGAGGAUCUUCUUGGGCAUAAAUGAAGAGAAGAGGAGGGCCAAUGUGCAAAUGUGGCAGAUCAGAGAGGGGAAUGAAAUCCCUAGCGGCACCUCAUUGCAAAUCGGGCCUGGCCACAUCUCCAUCUCUCUCCCCCUCACCACUUCUUCCACCACCGGCCGCCGCCGCGGCCAGGCCGGCGUGGCGGCGCGCCACCAACACCACCGCGCCAUAGCACCACCCAUAAUCUCCAUCCAUCUGCGCCUCCCGGCCACCCAUCAUUCCCUCCAUCCACAGCGCCGCCAGAACCCAUCCAUCAUCACCUCCAGCCGGCGCCGCCGCCUCGCCUACAGCCAUCUCCCUGCUGUCCGCUGCUCUCCUCUUCUUUCCAACCUUCUUCUCCUCACCAUGCUGCUGCUCCUCCCUCUCAAUCUCUACUGCUGCUCUUCCUUGCCCCCCCACCCCCCCGUGCUGCUGCCUCUCCUUCCCUUCGUUGCUUGCUGCUUCUCCUUUGAUCCCUUUGCUACUGCUCCUCUUCUUCGUGCCCAACCUCCGCUGCUGCUCCUCUUUCCUGCUGCUACUCCCUCUCACCACGCCUCUGCUGCUCUCUUUCCCCUCCUGCUGCUGCUCUCCUCACCAUGCUGCUUCUCCUCUUGCUGCUGCUGCCCGCCCCCGACCUCCUCCUGCUAUCUCUCUCUACUUCCCCUGCUACCUUUCUUCUCUGAACCUACCUACUGCUUCUCUCUCUCUCUGAAAUUGCUGUAGUACUAAGAUUUGUAAGACAGUGUACUACAACCUGUUAAUUGUUCAGUUCAGAUUUUUGCUUGUUUAGUAUUAUUCUGUUGAUCUGUGCUAAUCUUGUGGCUAGUAUAAUUUCGUUUCUGUUGUUACUUGUGUAACCUGAACCGUGGUUAGUAUCCUAUUUGCAUAUGUGUGUUUUGUAGUCCCUGUAUUAGUUACGUACCUGUGAUAUAUAAAUGUGUGUGUGCGUGUGUGUGUGUAAUUCAUCAAAAUAUAUUGUUGUGUGAUGAUGAUAUAUGUUCAGUCUAGAGACACGUUAUUUUUCUUGCUUUGUAGAUCGAUGUGAACUAGUACCCUUGUGUGUUUCUGUUGUCACUAGUUAAAUUGAUCACCUAUGUACUACUUGUUGUAGAAACUUGUUACAUUAGUCCUUGUGCUAGCUAUGCACCUGUGAUAAAUAUGUGUGUGAUGUGAAACAUUUCUGUUCUGUCCUAUAAUAUUGUUUCCUCCCUCUUUUGCUUGUCAUUAUGCUAUAUGUGUUCAUGUCCUAAUGUUUCCCUUUAUGUUAGUUUCUAAUUUCUCAUGCCUAAUAAAAAUACCAAAAGACAGCAAGUAAGAUCUGAUCCUCCCUUUGCUAUUUUGCCUUUUCUUUGUGGAUCAUCUUUGGGAGCAACCUUGUUUAGUUUAGGUUUAUUUUCUUGCAGCCAUAAUCUCAAUUGUGUUACCUAGAUUUAGCUGAGCAUAGUCGCCGUCGCCUAGUCCCUGCGGGGAACACGACACUCGCGAUUUGGGCGAAAUAUCCCACCACAUUUACAAACGAUCAGCGAGGCUCAUCGUCGUCCUUGCUAGGCGGCCCUUUCCCCUUGUGCUCGGUGUUUAGCUUACCGACCUGUUUGAAGACCCAACAAUUUUUGCUGGUAUGAUUGGCAGGCUUGUCAGGGGUGCCAUGGAUCUGGCAAGGCCGAUCGAGUAUUCUGUCCAAACUGGAUGAACCAUCUUUGUUUCCUUUGAAUGGCUUCUUUCGUUGACCGGGUUUAGAGCCACUGAAUCCAGCGUUGACCGCCGUAUCUUCGGUAUCUUCAUU